This 1890-nucleotide ribosomal RNA is filed under the name human gut metagenome. RNAcentral's name for it is "bacterial LSU rRNA". It matches the Rfam family "Bacterial large subunit ribosomal RNA", at positions 556 to 2445 of the family's 2925-position model. The record is from RNAcentral.
CCGUGUGCCUACAAGCAGUCGGAGCAGCCAUGCGCUGUGACGGCGUGCCUUUUGUAGAAUGAGCCAGCGAGUUGCGGUUGGCGGCGAGGUUAAGGUUGGAACCGAGCCGCAGUGAAAGCGAGCCUUUAAGAUGGCGAUCAGUCGCCAGCCGCAGACGCGAAGCCGGGUGAUCUAUCCAUGGGCAGGCUGAGGCAGAGGUAAGACUCUGUGGAGGGCCGAACCCACUUCGGUUGAAAACGGAGGGGAUGACCUGUGGAUAGGGGUGAAAGGCCAAUCAAACCCGGAGAUAUCUCGUUCUCCCCGAAAUAGCUUUAGGGCUAGCCUCGAUCGCUUACCGACGGUGGUAGAGCACUGGAUCCGUGCGGGGGCCUCACCGCCUACCAACCGAAACCAAACUCCGAAUGCCGUCGGUCCCGAGAUCGGGAGUCAGAACAUGUGGGCUAAGCCGUGUGUUCGAGAGGGAAACAGCCCAGACCGCCUGCUAAGGUCCCCAAAUCAACGCUGAGUGGCAAAGGAUGUGCGUUUGCCUAGACAACCAGGAUGUUGGCUUAGAAGCAGCCAUGCAUUUAAAGAGUGCGUAACAGCUCACUGGUCAAGUGGACAUGCGCCGACAAUACACGGGGCUAAGCGUUGUACCGAAGCAGCGGACUGUUUUAUCAGUGGUAGGGGAGCUUUCCAUGCCGGGGCGAAGCCGACGGGCGACCGUCGGUGGACUGCAUGGAAGUGAGAAUGCUGGCAUGAGUAACGAGAGAGGGGCGAGAAACCCCUCCGCCGUAAGCCUAAGGGUUCCUGGGCAAGGCUAAUCCUCCCAGGGUCAGUCGGGAGCUAAGGCGAGGCCGACAGGCGUAGCCGAUGCACAACAGGCGGACAUUCCUGUACCACCGCUGAGCGUUUUUACGACGGGGUGACGGAGAAGGGUAGCCGGGCGGGGUUCUGGACGUCCCCGUGAAAGCGCGUAGGCCGCAGGGCAGGCAAAUCCGCCCUGCAUCAAGGCCGAGACGUUAGACGAAGCUUCAUGUGAAGCCGGCGAGCCCAUGCUUCCGAGAAAAACCUCUAAGGAGCGAGGCGGUGCCCGUACCAAAACCGACACAGGUAGGCGGGUAGAGCAUACCAAGGCGAUCGGGAGAACCAUGGUUAAGGAACUCGGCAUACUGACUCCGUAACUUCGGGAGAAGGAGUGCCCCCGACGGUGAUUCCCCUCGCGGGAGGAGCUGUCGGGGGUCGCAGCGAAACGGCCCAAGCGACUGUUUACCAAAAACACAGGACUCUGCAAAGCCGCAAGGCGACGUAUAGGGUCUGACGCCUGCCCGGUGCUGGAAGGUUACGCGGAUGAGUUAGCGCAAGCGAAGCCCUGAAGCCAAGCCCCAGUAAACGGCGGCCGUAACUAUAACGGUCCUAAGGUAGCGAAAUUCCUUGUCGGGUAAGUUCCGACCUGCACGAAUGGCGUAACGACUUGGGCGCUGUCUCAACCAUGGACCCGGUGAAAUUGUAUUAUUCGUGAAGAUGCGAAUUACCUGCGGAAGGACGGAAAGACCCCGUGAACCUUUACUGCAGCUUGGCAUUGGCUGUUGGUGCGGUGCGUAGAGGAUAGGCAGGAGCCUGCGAACCGGGAACGCCAGUUCCCGGGGAGGCGCCCUUGGAAUACUGCCCUCACCGCAUCGGCAGCCUAACGCGCCGCCCUCAUCGGGGGCGCGGACCGUGCCAGGUGGGUAGUUUGACUGGGGCGGUCGCCUCCUAAACUGUAACGGAGGCGUGCGAAGGUUCGCUCAGGGCGGUUGGCAAUCGCCCGCAGAGCACAAGAGUACAAGCGAGCCUGACUGCGAGACCAACAAGUCGAGCAGAGACGAAAGUCGGUUCUAGUGAUCCGGCGGCCCAGCGUGGAAUGGCCGU